This 470-nucleotide ribosomal RNA is filed under the name uncultured bacterium. RNAcentral describes it as "partial 16S ribosomal RNA". It matches the Rfam family "Bacterial small subunit ribosomal RNA", at positions 28 to 507 of the family's 1533-position model. The record is from RNAcentral.
GACGAACGCUGGCGGCGUGCUUAACACAUGCAAGUCGAACGGUGAACGAGGGAGCUUGCUCCCUCCGGAUCAGUGGCGAACGGGUGAGUAACACGUGAGCAAUCUGCCCCGAACUCUGGGAUAAGCGUUGGAAACGACGUCUAAUACCGGAUACGACGCGGGAGGGCAUCCUCUCCGCGUGGAAAGAACUUCGGUUCGGGCUGAGCUCGCGGCCUAUCAGCUUGUUGGUGAGGUAACGGCUCACCACGGCGCCGACUGGUAGCCGGCCUGAGAGGGUGACCGGCCACACUGGGACUGAGAGACGGCGCAGACUGCUACGGGAGGCAGCAGUGGGGAAUAUUGCACAAUGGGCGCAAGCCUGAUGCAGCAACGCCGGGUGAGGGAAGACGGCCUUCGGGUUGUAAACCUCUCUUAGCAGGGAAGAAGCGAUAGUGACGGUACCUGCAGAAAAAGCACCGGCUAACUACGUG